GACGAACGCUGGCGGCGUGCUUAACACAUGCAAGUCGAACGGAAAGGCCCUGCUUUUGUGGGGUGCUCGAGUGGCGAACGGGUGAGUAACACGUGAGUAACCCGCCCCUGACUUUGGGAUAACUUCAGGAAACAGGGGCUAAUACCGGAUAGGAGCUCCUGCUGCAUGGUGGGGGUUGGAAAAAUUCGGCGGUUGGGGAUGGACUCGCGGCUUAUCAGCUUGUUGGUGGGGUAGUGGCUUACCAAGGCUUUGACGGGUAGCCGGCCUGAGAGGGUGACCGGCCACCUUGGGCCUGAGAUACGGCCCAGACUCCUACGGGAGGCAGCAGUGGGGAAUAUUGCACAAUGGGCUGAAGCCUGAUGCAGCAACGCCGCGUGCGGGAUGACGGCCUUCGGGUUGUAAACCGCUUUCGCCUGUGACGAAGCGUGAGUGACGGUAAUGGGUAAAGAAGCACCGGCUAACUACGUG
RNAcentral lists this ribosomal RNA (468 nucleotides) under uncultured bacterium. Its description in RNAcentral is "partial 16S ribosomal RNA". It matches the Rfam family "Bacterial small subunit ribosomal RNA", at positions 28 to 507 of the family's 1533-position model. The record is from RNAcentral.